RNAcentral lists this unclassified non-coding RNA (346 nucleotides) under soil metagenome. Its description in RNAcentral is "partial contains 5.8S ribosomal RNA, internal transcribed spacer 2, and large subunit ribosomal RNA". The stretch from base 1 to 120 matches the Rfam family "5.8S ribosomal RNA", at positions 35 to 154 of the family's 154-position model. The record is from RNAcentral.
GAUGAAGAACGUAGCGAAAUGCGAUAAGUAAUGUGAAUUGCAGAAUUCAGUGAAUCAUCGAGUCUUUGAACGCACAUUCCGCCCCCUGGUAUUCCGGGGGGCAUGCCUGUCCGAGCGUCAUUGCUGCCCUCAAGCACGGCUUGUGUGUUGGGCCCCGUCCUCCGAUCCCGGGGGACGGGCCCGAAAGGCAGCGGCGGCACCGCGUCCGGUCCUCGAGCGUAUGGGGCUUUGUCACCCGCUCUGUAGGCCCGGCCGGCGCUUGCCGAUCAACCCAAAUUUUUAUCCAGGUUGACCUCGGAUCAGGUAGGGAUACCCGCUGAACUUAAGCAUAUCAAUAAGCGGAGGA